Molecule: ribosomal RNA, 539 nt
Filed under: uncultured Fusarium
Lineage: Eukaryota; Fungi; Ascomycota; Sordariomycetes; Hypocreales; Nectriaceae
Description: eukaryotic LSU rRNA
Rfam family: 5.8S ribosomal RNA (bases 173-326)
Source: RNAcentral
GGUGACCAGCGGAGGGAUCAUUACCGAGUUUUACAACUCCCAAACCCCUGUGAACAUACCACUUGUUGCCUCGGUGGAUCAGCCCGCUCCCGGUAAAACGGGACGGCCCGCCAGAGGACCCCUAAACUCUGUUUCUAUAUGUAACUUCUGAGUAAAACCAUAAAUAAAUCAAAACUUUCAACAACGGAUCUCUUGGUUCUGGCAUCGAUGAAGAACGCAGCAAAAUGCGAUAAGUAAUGUGGAUUGCAGAAUUCAGUGAAUCAUCGAAUCGUUGAACGCACAUUGCGCCCGCCAGUAUUCUGGCGGGCAUGCCUGUUCGAGCGUCAUUUCAACCCUCAAGCACAGCUUGGUGUUGGGACUCGCGUUAAUUCGCGUUCCUCAAAUUGAUUGGCGGUCACGUCGAGCUUCCAUAGCGUAGUAGUAAAACCCUCGUUACUGGUAAUCGUCGCGGCCACGCCGUUAAACCCCAACUUCUGAAUGUUGACCUCGGAUCAGGUAGGAAUACCCGCUGAACUUAAGCAUAUCAAUAAGCGGAGGAA